GGGAUGGCAUUCCAGAGCCACUCACUUCCUCCUCAAUCUGGGACAGCUUGGGGGAUGCGGAUCUGGAGCUCUCAGAGGCAUCACUCAGAUUUAGCUACUACUUCUGGAGUGUGCAGUCCCAGAUCUCCAAGGGCAUCAGCAUCUUUACUGCAAAACAGAGAAGAGCGUCACAAACCUCUCCUCGUGAACAGCUGUCUGCUCUUUCUGGAGCUCUACAGAUAAGGUCAUGCUGCUGACCCCAUCCAUGGGCAUGUCAAGAGCUCGUUCUCUGUUGUGGGAUGUCACUGGGAUAGACACUCUGCCUGUAAAGCAUCACUGCAGCAAGAUGGCUCUUUGGACAUUAGCUGAGACAAAC
Molecule: long non-coding RNA, 355 nt
Organism: Calidris pugnax (ruff)
Lineage: Eukaryota; Metazoa; Chordata; Aves; Charadriiformes; Scolopacidae
Exons: 3
Source: RefSeq, a predicted model, not a curated record